AAAAUUCUGUUCUCAGGAAGCCAGUGG
Molecule: non-coding RNA, 27 nt
Filed under: Cricetulus griseus (Chinese hamster)
Lineage: Eukaryota; Metazoa; Chordata; Mammalia; Rodentia; Cricetidae
Source: RNAcentral